RNAcentral lists this ribosomal RNA (265 nucleotides) under uncultured prokaryote. RNAcentral's name for it is "partial 16S ribosomal RNA". It matches the Rfam family "Bacterial small subunit ribosomal RNA", at positions 524 to 788 of the family's 1533-position model. The record is from RNAcentral.
UACGUAGGUGGCAAGCGUUAUCCGGAAUUAUUGGGCGUAAAGAGCGCGCAGGUGGUUGAUUAAGUCUGAUGUGAAAGCCCACGGCUUAACCGUGGAGGGUCAUUGGAAACUGGUCGACUUGAGUGCAGAAGAGGGAAGUGGAAUUCCAUGUGUAGCGGUGAAAUGCGUAGAGAUAUGGAGGAACACCAGUGGCGAAGGCGGCUUCCUGGUCCGUAACUGACACUGAGGCGCGAAAGCGUGGGGAGCAAACAGGAUUAGAUACCCU